CAUACGCAGAGCACAUGCACAUACAGUAUGUACACACUUGCACAUGCAGGGCACACACACAUGCACACACUGUGCACACACACACAUGCUCACACACAGUGCAUACACACACAUGCACAUGCAGGGCACAUGCACACAGUGUGUACACACAUGCACACGCAGGGCACACACAUGCACACAGUGUGUACACACACACAUGCUCACACACAGUGCAUACACACACAUGCACACGCAGGGCACACACACGCACACAGUGUGUACACACAUGCAAACACAGGGCGCACAUGCACACAGUGCGUGCGCACAUGCACACAGUGCGUACACACAUGCACACACACGUGCACAGAGCAUACACACACAUGCACAUGCAGGGCACACACGCACACACAGGGUACAUACACACAUGCACAGAGCAUACACACAUGCACACGCAGGACGCAUGUGCACAAUGCAUACACACACAUGCACAUGCAAGGCACACGUGCACACACGCACACAGUGUAUACACACACAUGCACACGCAGGGCGCGUGCCCACACACACACACACACACAGUAUGUACACACAUAUGCACAUGCAGAGCUCACACACAUGAACAGACAGUGUGUACACACACACACACAUGAAGGUCUCGCCCCACACACAGGGCAGGUGCACACGCACACACAGGGCACAUGCACAUACAUAGUGCGUACACACAUGUACAUGCAAGGCGCUCGCGCGCAGUACGUGCACACACAUGCACGCAGGGUGGGUGCACACACAUGCUCACAUAAUGUGUACACACACAUGCACGCGCAGGGCACAUGCAGACACGCAUGCAUGCAGGGCAGGUGCACACACACACACACAGUGCAUACACUCAUGCACACGCAGGGCACGUGCACACACACAGCCUCAGAUGAGCCGGCAGACCUCACGUUGCUCACAUUUGAGGCACAUCCUGGGGUCUGGCAUGUACUUUGUCUAACCUAAAGCUCUGUUGACCUUACGACCCAAGUCAAGGAUGGGAGUUUUAAGAUGCAGACCACCUCCACUUCCGGUUUUAAAUUACCACUUUAAUGAACGUGAUCCUGGGUGUUCGUCUCGACCACCUCGAGUUUUUAAGACACUUACAGUCUUG
RNAcentral lists this long non-coding RNA (1123 nucleotides) under Panthera leo (lion). RNAcentral's name for it is "lncRNA (ENSPLOG00000004031.1)". The record is from RNAcentral. Lineage: Eukaryota; Metazoa; Chordata; Mammalia; Carnivora; Felidae.